CCUACGGGUGGCUGCAGUGAGGAAUAUUGGUCAAUGGACGCAAGUCUGAACCAGCCAUGCCGCGUGCAGGAAGACGGAUCUAUGAGUUGUAAACUGCUUUUGUACGAGGGUAAACACCCCUACGUGUAGGGGAUUGAAAGUAUAAUUCGAAUAAGGAUCGGCUAACUACGUGCCAGCAGCCGCGGUAAUACGGAGGAUCCAAGCGUUAUCCGGAUUUAGUGGGUUUAAAGGGUGCGUAGGCGGUUUGAUAAGUUAGAGGUGAAAUACCGGUGCUCAACCCCGGAACUGCCUCUAAUACUGUUGAACUAGAGAGUAGUAGCGGUAGGCGGAAUGUAUGGUGUAGCGGUGAAAUGCUUAGAGAUCAUACAGAACACCGGUUGCGAAGGCAGCUUACCAAACUAUAUCUGACGUUGAGGCACGAAAGCGUGGGUAGCAAACAGGAUUAGAUACCCUUGUAGUC
RNAcentral lists this ribosomal RNA (460 nucleotides) under uncultured bacterium. RNAcentral describes it as "partial 16S ribosomal RNA". It matches the Rfam family "Bacterial small subunit ribosomal RNA", at positions 338 to 795 of the family's 1533-position model. The record is from RNAcentral.